GAUGAACGCUGGCGGCGUGCCUAAUACAUGCAAGUCGAGCGAACGGACGAGAAGCUUGCUUCUCUGAUGUUAGCGGCGGACGGGUGAGUAACACGUGGAUAACCUACCUAUAAGACUGGGAUAACUUCGGGAAACCGGAGCUAAUACCGGAUGAUAUUUUGAACCGCAUGGUUCAAAAGUGAAAGACGGUCUUGCUGUCACUUAUAGAUGGAUCCGCGCUGCAUUAGCUAGUUGGUAAGGUAACGGCUUACCAAGGCAACGAUGCAUAGCCGACCUGAGAGGGAGGUCGGCCACACUGGAACUGAGAAACGGUCCAGACUCCUGCGGGAGGCAGCAGUAGGGAAUCUUCCGCAAUGGGCGAAAGCCUGACGGAGCAACGCCGCGUGAGUGAUGAAGGUCUUCGGAUCGUAAAACUCUGUUAUUAGGGAAGAACAUAUGUGUAAGUAACUGUGCACAUCUUGACGGUACCUAAUCAGAAAGCCACGGCUAACUACGUG
Molecule: ribosomal RNA, 497 nt
Filed under: uncultured bacterium
Lineage: Bacteria
Description: partial 16S ribosomal RNA
Rfam family: Bacterial small subunit ribosomal RNA
Source: RNAcentral